UACUCCAAAUUUAUCCCGUGCUGCCAUG
This 28-nucleotide small RNA is filed under the name Bombyx mori (domestic silkworm). RNAcentral's name for it is "piRNA piR-bmo-1624222". The record is from RNAcentral. Lineage: Eukaryota; Metazoa; Arthropoda; Insecta; Lepidoptera; Bombycidae.